This 772-nucleotide ribosomal RNA is filed under the name Streptococcus anginosus. RNAcentral describes it as "bacterial SSU rRNA". It matches the Rfam family "Bacterial small subunit ribosomal RNA", at positions 28 to 776 of the family's 1533-position model. Lineage: Bacteria; Bacillati; Bacillota; Bacilli; Lactobacillales; Streptococcaceae. The record is from RNAcentral.
GACGAACGCUGGCGGCGUGCCUAAUACAUGCAAGUAGGACGCACAGUUUAUACCGUAGCUUGCUACACCAUAGACUGUGAGUUGCGAACGGGUGAGUAACGCGUAGGUAAUCUGCCUAUUGAGGGGGAUAACUAUUGGAAACGAUAGCUAAUACCGCAUAACAGUAUGUAACACAUGUUAGAUGCUUGAAAGAUGCAAUUGCAUCGCUAGUAGAUGGACCUGCGUUGUAUUAGCUAGUAGGUAGGGUAAAGGCCUACCUAGGCAACGAUACAUAGCCGACCUGAGAGGGUGAUCGGCCACACUGGGACUGAGACACGGCCCAGACUCCUACGGGAGGCAGCAGUAGGGAAUCUUCGGCAAUGGGGGGAACCCUGACCGAGCAACGCCGCGUGAGUGAAGAAGGUUUUCGGAUCGUAAAGCUCUGUUGUUAAGGAAGAACGAGUGUGAGAAUGGAAAGUUCAUACUGUGACGGUACUUAACCAGAAAGGGACGGCUAACUACGUGCCAGCAGCCGCGGUAAUACGUAGGUCCCGAGCGUUGUCCGGAUUUAUUGGGCGUAAAGCGAGCGCAGGCGGUUAGAAAAGUCUGAAGUGAAAGGCAGUGGCUCAACCAUUGUAGGCUUUGGAAACUGUUUAACUUGAGUGCAGAAGGGGAGAGUGGAAUUCCAUGUGUAGCGGUGAAAUGCGUAGAUAUAUGGAGGAACACCGGUGGCGAAAGCGGCUCUCUGGUCUGUAACUGACGCUGAGGCUCGAAAGCGUGGGGAGCGAACAGG